CACAGCUCCUGCAGAAUCGCGCUUCGGCCUCGCAGGCGACGCACGGGCGUUGUGCGACGUUGCGCCAUCGCUUCCACCGUUUCCCCAAGCGACAGACUGAAUGUCAUGCGGCACUUUUCUCCUCGGUAUGAUCGGAAAGCCGAAGUCUCCAGUGGAAGGAGAAACAGCCGAUGACUUCGAUCUAAAAAGGCAGCAGCCGUCAAGGACCAGGCCGAUAGCGGGUGACUAAGUCCGUUAGUGGCGCCACGUCGCCCACGCAGGGUGCGCGCCGGAGUGACACGGCCGAGGCUGAUGCAGACCCGAGCAGCGUCACCAGGCCGUCCGGUCUUUUCGACGACAACUACGCCCCUCGCCCACAGCUGUCACUGCAUAUUGCCGUCGAGUGUCGACGCCAGAUAUCCGGCCACAAUCGACGCAGACGCGGUCUACGAGGGCCGCCCGCGGAGAGAGAGAAUGCGCGAUCCACGCUGAUGCGCGCUGACAAAGAACACCUUGCGCGAAGCGAGAGCGCCACUGAUGACAACACGCGGAUUGAGCGAUGGGGAAACGCGCACGCCGAGCUCAAUGCAGGCCGAGCAGAGAGACGAAGCCGAGCGGCUUUUUUUCCUCGUUCAACCUUUUCUCUCUCUCUUCCUCUCUCUCUCCCCUUCAUUUCGGUAUUUGCGCUUUGAGACCGCUCACCUCCAGAGCGGUAUACGCGCGCGCUCAGAGGAAGCUGGCGCCAUCUGGAGAAAUACACGAGAAGCGAUAGCAGCGCGUGAGGUGCGCGGUGAGUUCGCGUGGAGCAUUGGGUCGGUUACCCUCCGCCUCCCUGGCUGUACUGUUUUCGGUUUCUACUUUAUU
RNAcentral lists this long non-coding RNA (843 nucleotides) under Dermacentor andersoni. RNAcentral describes it as "uncharacterized LOC126544890". The record is from RNAcentral. Lineage: Eukaryota; Metazoa; Arthropoda; Arachnida; Ixodida; Ixodidae.